RNAcentral lists this ribosomal RNA (253 nucleotides) under uncultured bacterium. RNAcentral describes it as "partial 16S ribosomal RNA". It matches the Rfam family "Bacterial small subunit ribosomal RNA", at positions 524 to 776 of the family's 1533-position model. The record is from RNAcentral.
UACGUAGGUCCCGAGCGUUAUCCGGAAUUAUUGGGCGUAAAGGGUGCGCAGGUGGUUAUGUAAGUCUGGUGUGAAAUUUUUGGGCUCAACCCAAAAAGGUCAUUGGAAACUGCAUAACUUGAGAGCAGGAGAGGUAAGUGGAAUUCCUAGUGUAGCGGUGAAAUGCGUAGAGAUUAGGAGGAACACCAGUGGCGAAGGCGGCUUACUGGACUGUAUCUGACACUGAGGCACGAAAGCGUGGGUAGCAAACAGG